Meleagris gallopavo (turkey) is the source of this 388-nucleotide non-coding RNA. NCBI's taxonomy places the organism in Eukaryota, Metazoa, Chordata, Aves, Galliformes, Phasianidae. The record is from RefSeq and is a predicted model, not a curated record.
UCCGCUGCGUAGGCCCUGGAGCCAUGGAGCUGCAGCUGAUGGGAGCUGCUCUGCUCUUUUCAGCUCUGCUUUGUUUGCGGCAAUCUGGGGGCCAGCAUCACCUGCGCAGAUCCAGGCUGUGACCGCAGCUUCCAUUUCCCCUGUGCCUUGGAGGGUGAAUGCAUCACCCAGUACUUUGGAGAGUUCAGGUCCUUUUGCUGGGAGCACUGCCCACAUCAGGCAGUGGAGGCAGCACCAAUGCAGGACGCAACCUGCAUCAUCUGCAUGGAACCCGUGGGUGACAGCAGGUCAUACAGCACCAUUGCGUGCCGAGCCUGCAAACAAGCCUGGUUCCACCGGGUCUGCAUCCAGGAACAGGCCUUGCACUCAGGGAUUUAUCGCUUCCAAU